Molecule: non-coding RNA, 3474 nt
Organism: Punica granatum (pomegranate)
Lineage: Eukaryota; Viridiplantae; Streptophyta; Magnoliopsida; Myrtales; Lythraceae
Source: RefSeq, a predicted model, not a curated record
AAAUGGCGCCCGUUUGCUCUAUAUUUCCUUCUCUCUCUCUCUCUCUAUAAGUAUAUAUACAAAACGCAAAAUGCAACUCUGCCAGUCGUUCUGCUUGCGCCUCCUCACCGCCAAAAGCAACUCUCUCUUGCACCUUUCUUUAUCAUUCGAAUAUGGCAAUGAAACUGCCUAACCGCCAGAGAUUACUUAUUGCAACCCGAUUCUCCCCAGAACAGAAUUUGCUCUUGAAGGGGCCGGAAGGUGAUGAUUGCUCUCUCUUUAUCUCAUGAUGUCAGUGCGUUCAGAAGCUGUGACUCUGCAACACCUUUGUCGGGCGAAGCGUCUCCUUCGAGUAAAUCUCUACCUAUUUGCUGUUCAUCCCGACUUGCUCAUUCCAAAGAUUUCUACGUUCUGUUCUGCUUUGGGGUUCAAAACCAAAGGAUCGAGUGAUCAUUUCAUAUCUUCUUCUUCGUCGCCGGAAUAUAGGUCUCAGCGAUAGCUCCAGCUCGGUUUAUGCAUGCCAUGUGUUUGAUGAAACUCCUAUUCCAAAUUUCAAGGCAUGUGCAUUUCCACUGGACAGCUCCUUUUAUUGGGGUCUGCUCAAUGUGAUUCUAAUAUUAACGUUCAUAAGCACAAGCUAUGAUAUUGAUGAUAUUUUGGCGGCUAAUUCUGUUGCCUCAUCGUGCUUUGUUUAUGUAGACGAUAUUGAGGUUGAAUUGCUGGAUUUGAAGGGUUGCACUGCCCUGGUUUAAUGGUUUUAGUGUUGCAGAUAGGAAAAGGAAGGAGCAGAAAGGAGGAAAAAAUUUCCGGAGAGGUUGGUGAAGGCCUUCAACUAUAAUAAAUUUUUAAAAUUACUGGAACAUCAGUUUGUUGGUCUUCAAACUAAAUUGCAUUUCAUGGACGGUUAGGUAAGUGUUCUUAAAUUUAAUCUCAUGCUUUCCCCUAAUUUUACUUACUAUAUAAUUUUACUUAUUAUAUUACAUUUCAAUUACUUACUAAUGUCAAUUGAGAAUUAUAUAUGAUAGUCAUACAAUUAUUUUUUUUUCUAACUAUUUGUGUGUUCAGAUUUCUCUUCAGCAGCAUAUAAAUUGAAUUUAUCUAAAUUGUCAACUCUCCUUUCGUCUGAUCAUCAUUAAUCAGUAUGUAUUUUUCUUACUCCUUCAUUGAUUUACUUAUAGAAGCAAGACGUAAGUAGUUAAUAUCUUAACUAGAGGAUCAUUCCAGCCUCUCUUUUCAGGCAAUCCUUUCACUAUUUCUCUUAAUUUUGGUUUUUUGCUCAUGUAUGGACUGAGUGGGUUAGGAGAAGGGUGGCAUUAACCGUGCACAAGCUGUUAACUUGGUUGUUUCAUACAUAAUGCGAAUAUGAUUUCUGUAGUUCAUUCCGUGACUAAUUAUAUGUACUACGGCGCUUAAUUCUCAUAAAAAGGAAUUGGCAGCUCAAAGCAAUUCUUUUGGUUCUUUUUUUACUAUUCAGACGGUCAUUAAUUUAUUUAUUGGGCUUAUCAAUUAUCUAACUGUUUCAUCCCUUUUAUAGCUCUGAACCAUAUGGAAAAUUAUAGAGGAUAUUUAAAAUGGAUGAUCAAAUAGCUCUGGGUGUUUCACACUGAGUGUAAGUUGUUUCCAAUUAAUUAAUGGAUAGUUUUGGAUCUUACUUUGGACAAUUUCCAAGGAGAUUGAGCAUGAAAGAUGCCGCCCAACAAUUGAAUUAGCUGUUCAAAUCAAUAAUUGUAGGUCUUCUUAACUGUUCAUUUAUUGACAUAUUAAUCUUAUGGAACUCAUCAUUUUACUCUUACAGUUUCUAGCCCGUGCCACAGUCAAUUGACUGUAAAUAGCAGCACCUCGACUUUCGAGAGGCAGUCUCUCAAUUUUAUGGUUGCAAGCCUAACUGCUUAUGGGCAAGGAGCGAGUGGGGAUGAUUUUGAUAUGUGCUACCACCAAAUAGGGCAUUUAGCAAGAGACUGCCUAGGACUCAAAUCUGUCCGUCCUGCUUAUGGAGAGAGGUAUGGGAUGGUUCCUAGGUAAAACAUUUUGCAACGCCUGCUUCUGAAAUAUUUGUCCUGAUUUUUGGGUACAUUGGCUCCUCAUUUUGUAAUUACUAAUCAUCUCGCAGAGUCUUUUUUUUUUCGAUGUGAGCAGUGGUAUUCAGAAGUCUAAUUGGGCCCCGACUAAUUCAGUUGAGCCGAGUCGGCCCACUAAGGGUAAAGAUCUUCCAGCAUAGAUUUUUUGCAUUCACAAGAAAUUGAACCUGAGAUCUUGCUCAAGCGGAACAAGCUCAAACCGCUUAAACCAACCCACGUUGAUGGCAGUUUGUCUUUGUUUGGAGCUUUGUCUUGAUAGAUAUGUAAGCUUUUGGAACCUUUAUGUGUAAAUUUUUAAUAUUGACCAAAAUAUCGUAUUUUCUCAAUUGAGUGAGUUUUGAUAUGUAAGGAUGAUGUCUGAAGUACAAGUAAGCAAGGCACUUCUGUCUUUAUACUUGGAUCGAGGUAUACUAUUCUUAAUUUCUAUUGUUUUCUACUACUUGUCACCCAUAAACUGAUGGUCAAAUUGAAGUAGUAAAUAGGACUUUGUCUACUUUAUUGAGGGCAAUCAUUAAAAAGAACAUCAAAAUAUAUGAAGAGUGUUUAUCACAUGUUGAGUUUGCUUAUAACAUAUCUGUUCAUUCUGCUACUAAAUUUUCACCUUUUGAAAUUGUUUAUGGAUUUAAUCCUUUAACUCCAUUCGAUUUAUCUCAUUUACCUUUAACUGAGUAUGUUAAUUUGGAUGGUAAAAAGAAAGCUAAAUUUGUCAAGCAGAUUUAUGAGAAAGCAAGACUCAAUAUUGAGCGAAGAACGGAGCAGUAUGCAAAACACGCCAACAAGGGGCAUCAUAAGCUGAUUUUCGAACCCGGAGAUUGAGUUUAGUUGCAUAUGAGGAAAGAGCGAUUUCCGGCGCAAAGACGUUCCAAAUUGCUUCCGAGAAGGGAUGGUCUCCAAGAAGGGAUGGUCCAUUUCAAGUCCUAGAGCGCAUCAAUGACAACAUUUACAAACUAAAUUUACCUGAUGAGUACAAUGUAAGUGCUACUUUUAAUGUUGCUGAUUUGAUUCCUUUUGAUGUAGGUGAUGAUUUGAUGACAAAUCCUUUUCAAGAGGAGGGGAAUGAUGCAAAUCGUAGCACGAUUUUAAGGGAUCCAGUUCAAGUUCCAAUUGGACCGAUUAUGUGAGCACAAGUAAAGAACUUUAAAGAUGAACUCAACGAUCUGAUUCAAGAGGUUUGAGCUCAAGCAAAUUCGUGGAGGCCCAUUGGACAUGAACCACGUGAUCAACAAAGAUUCAUUAACAUGAUUCAAGUUAUAGAAGAUUCCGGACAAGGCUAAAAUCAGCAAGUGUUUGAGGAAACUUCUAGAAUAUUUGAUGAUCAAUAUUUGCAACGCCUGCUACCGAAAUAUUUGUCCUGAUUUUUGGGUACAUUGGUUCCUCAUUUUGUAAUUACUAAUCAUCUCGCAGUUCGUCUUUUUUU